Molecule: transfer RNA, 74 nt
Filed under: Methylobacterium mesophilicum
Lineage: Bacteria; Pseudomonadati; Pseudomonadota; Alphaproteobacteria; Hyphomicrobiales; Methylobacteriaceae
Description: tRNA-Pro
Rfam family: tRNA
About the family: Transfer RNA (tRNA) molecules are approximately 80 nucleotides in length.
Source: RNAcentral
CGGGCAUUAGCGCAGCCCGGUAGCGCACUAGACUGGGGGUCUAGGGGUCGCAGGUUCGAAUCCUGCAUGCCCGA